Molecule: ribosomal RNA, 1550 nt
Filed under: Mesorhizobium sp.
Lineage: Bacteria; Pseudomonadati; Pseudomonadota; Alphaproteobacteria; Hyphomicrobiales; Phyllobacteriaceae
Description: bacterial SSU rRNA
Rfam family: Bacterial small subunit ribosomal RNA
Source: RNAcentral
AAAUUGAAGAGUUUGAUCAUGGCUCAGAUUGAACGCUGGCGGCAGGCCUAACACAUGCAAGUCGAACGGUAGCACAGAGAGCUUGCUCUCGGGUGACGAGUGGCGGACGGGUGAGUAAUGUCUGGGAAACUGCCUGAUGGAGGGGGAUAACUACUGGAAACGGUAGCUAAUACCGCAUAACGUCGCAAGACCAAAGAGGGGGACCUUCGGGCCUCUUGCCAUCAGAUGUGCCCAGAUGGGAUUAGCUAGUAGGUGGGGUAACGGCUCACCUAGGCGACGAUCCCUAGCUGGUCUGAGAGGAUGACCAGCCACACUGGAACUGAGACACGGUCCAGACUCCUACGGGAGGCAGCAGUGGGGAAUAUUGCACAAUGGGCGCAAGCCUGAUGCAGCCAUGCCGCGUGUAUGAAGAAGGCCUUCGGGUUGUAAAGUACUUUCAGCGGGGAGGAAGGUGUUGUGGUUAAUAACCUCAGCAAUUGACGUUACCCGCAGAAGAAGCACCGGCUAACUCCGUGCCAGCAGCCGCGGUAAUACGGAGGGUGCAAGCGUUAAUCGGAAUUACUGGGCGUAAAGCGCACGCAGGCGGUCUGUCAAGUCGGAUGUGAAAUCCCCGGGCUCAACCUGGGAACUGCAUUCGAAACUGGCAGGCUAGAGUCUUGUAGAGGGGGGUAGAAUUCCAGGUGUAGCGGUGAAAUGCGUAGAGAUCUGGAGGAAUACCGGUGGCGAAGGCGGCCCCCUGGACAAAGACUGACGCUCAGGUGCGAAAGCGUGGGGAGCAAACAGGAUUAGAUACCCUGGUAGUCCACGCCGUAAACGAUGUCGAUUUGGAGGUUGUGCCCUUGAGGCGUGGCUUCCGGAGCUAACGCGUUAAAUCGACCGCCUGGGGAGUACGGCCGCAAGGUUAAAACUCAAAUGAAUUGACGGGGGCCCGCACAAGCGGUGGAGCAUGUGGUUUAAUUCGAUGCAACGCGAAGAACCUUACCUGGUCUUGACAUCCACAGAACUUAGCAGAGAUGCUUUGGUGCCUUCGGGAACUGUGAGACAGGUGCUGCAUGGCUGUCGUCAGCUCGUGUUGUGAAAUGUUGGGUUAAGUCCCGCAACGAGCGCAACCCUUAUCCUUUGUUGCCAGCGGUUAGGCCGGGAACUCAAAGGAGACUGCCAGUGAUAAACUGGAGGAAGGUGGGGAUGACGUCAAGUCAUCAUGGCCCUUACGACCAGGGCUACACACGUGCUACAAUGGCGCAUACAAAGAGAAGCGACCUCGCGAGAGCAAGCGGACCUCAUAAAGUGCGUCGUAGUCCGGAUUGGAGUCUGCAACUCGACUCCAUGAAGUCGGAAUCGCUAGUAAUCGUAGAUCAGAAUGCUACGGUGAAUACGUUCCCGGGCCUUGUACACACCGCCCGUCACACCAUGGGAGUGGGUUGCAAAAGAAGUAGGUAGCUUAACCUUCGGGAGGGCGCUUACCACUUUGUGAUUCAUGACUGGGGUGAAGUCGUAACAAGGUAACCGUAGGGGAACCUGCGGUUGGAUCACCUCCUUACCUUAAAGAA